AAAAACCAAAUUUUGGCACCUUGAAUUGGAGGCAAAGUAGUAUUGUUAGGUUUAGUUAUUAUUGUUCUAUUUAUCGUUCUUUCGUGCUUUGUCACGUAUCAUCUCUAAACUUUAACAUUUUAUUGAACAAUUUUUGUGGGCCCGAAGUGAGGAGGCAAAGAGGGUAAAUUGGGUGGAAUAGGUGAGAAAGAAAUAUAAGGGUUGGAUUUAAAAAAUCUCAGAUUUAAGUAUAGCUUUAUUAAGGAAAUGGGUGAGAGUAAAACAAGAGAAAAAUAGGUUAUGGUAUAAGAUUCUCAAGCACAAAUAUGGGAGAAAUUGAAGACGGUGGGAGGAUGUGAUUGAGUUUGUGGAGGAUGUACAAAGAAUAGGAGAAGAUAGUUGAGGAGGAAAUGGUUGCUAUCGGCGAUUAAGAAGCAAGUCGAAAUUGGAAUAGACACUUGGUUUUGGAGGAUAAUUAGGUGAGUGAGGGGGACCUUAAAAGAAAGAUAUCUUAUAUUGUUCUCUAUUGUGGCAAGGAAGGAGGAGAGAUAAGCUGGCAUCAUAAAGUAUGAGAAUGGAGUUUGGGAGUGGGAGCUUAGAUGGAGGCGAAAAUGGUUUCAAUGGAAGUUAGAGAUGGGGGAAGCAUUGAAGGAGAUGUGUAAGGUGGUGAGUCGAGUAGUUUGGAGUCGACAAAAGAGAUAUGAUGAAAUCAUUAUAUAAAAUUUUGAGAAAGGGUAGUGGCGAGGAGAGGAAAAGUUCAAGUAUGCUAGUGGGGUACAAAAUAAUACCACUAAAGGUAGAUAAAAUUAUGGCAACUCAUUCAAAAGUCAAUCCCAACAAAAGGAUAACUUGGCUAAGACAUGUAUUAUUGCGAUUGACGAGUUAACUUGCUCAUCUGGUUGUAUGUGAUAGAAAAUUUGUUGGGAUUAUCUGAAAAUUUUCAUAACGAGGGAUGAGAUUAUACACGUUUGAAGCUUCUGGGGUUCAACGUUACGAGGAAGAGCAAUGAAUUCUAAAUUUUGCACAACUUGGUUCGUGUGUGUUUAGUCGAUUUGGAAAGUAAGAAAUUAACAAAUUUUUCAAAAAAAAGAAAUUUCAAAGGAAAAGAUUGUUGAGCAAACACAAGUUUUGGCUUGGGAAUGGUUGAAGGCAAAGAAAAUAAGCUUUGACGUCAAUACUGGGAUGUGGUUUUGAAAUUUGUUGGCGUGUAUGGAAGUAAAAACAGCGUUGGGAUAAUGGUCAUUUAGCUUAUAUGAUUAGAAUGGUGGUAUGAGGGGGUAUAUGUGGGGGUCACAAGAUAGAGAUUUGGUUACUAGUACUACUACUAGAGGACAAUUUAGUUUGGCACUUUGGAGGAAUAUUAUAAUGAUUGAGCUAUAGGGGGCACGAUUUGGAAUCUUACAAGUAAUGGAUGGACUUUAAAUUAGAGUAAAUUGAUAGUGGCAUUACCUUACACUAUGUUUGGUUUGAUAGAACUAGGGAACAGAGAGUUAGAGAAGAGAGAGAAGAGAUUAAUAACUUCUUCUGUUUGGACAACAAAGAAAUAGAGAAUAAAGAAAACUAAAAUAUGGGAUCCAUAUCUUUUCCAUUUCUUCUCUAAGCGGCGAAGAAAGAAGAAAGAAAUAGGCUUAACACAUUUUUAAUUCCUAGAUUGCCAUUGCAAUUUUUCUUUUGGCGCUAAUAUUUCCGGCUUCCUCUCCCACUUUCCUUUUUCUUCUCCUCUCCCUCCUUCCUCUUUCUCCAUCUCUCCAUUUUCUUCUUGCAACUUCAUCUUGUAUCUAUCAUUCUCAAAUCUUUACACCACAUCAAGACCAAAUCUGAAGUCAUAACAUCAAAUUGAGAAAUCAAAUUUGAGGAAAAACCACUUGCCAAAUGGAAAACCAUGCAAAUCAAGCAUUAUGAUAGUUUGAAGGAGCUUUUUGGGUUAGAUCGAGCUGUAGGCCAAAAAUCUUCUACUUCUAAGAUGCGAAACAAUCGUUUGGAAAAGGAAAGGGAAAAGGAAAAAGAAAGGGAAAAGGACAAUGCUGAUCUAAAUGACUCAAUUGAUGAUAGUUACAUUGCUGACAACAUGCUGAUAUAUUUGAUGAAGGGCGAGAAGAACCUCCCAUUGUUGACUCGUAUAGUCCAACUUUUAUAUAAUCACAUCAGUCUACAGGGACAUCUAGUUCUCAUGGAACAAAGCGUAAGGCUCUGAUGAAUGAUUUGUGGAGGCUAAAUUGGAGAGAAUGACAAGUGGCAUUGGACUUGUAGUUGCUGCAUUGAAUAAAGUGCUGAAUUUUGGUGAAGAAUCAACAUGAUGUAUGUGGAGUAUUUCAGCCAUAUCUG
Cicer arietinum (chickpea) is the source of this 2304-nucleotide non-coding RNA. The record is from RefSeq and is a predicted model, not a curated record. Lineage: Eukaryota; Viridiplantae; Streptophyta; Magnoliopsida; Fabales; Fabaceae.